GGGUUUAUGAUGUAACGGUUAGCAUAUGAGGCUCUUACCCUUUCUGUCUAGGUUCAAAUCCUAGUAAGCCCACCA
RNAcentral lists this transfer RNA (75 nucleotides) under Saprospiraceae bacterium. RNAcentral describes it as "tRNA-Lys". It matches the Rfam family "tRNA". From Rfam's summary of the family: Transfer RNA (tRNA) molecules are approximately 80 nucleotides in length. Their secondary structure includes four short double-helical elements and three loops (D, anti-codon, and T loops). The record is from RNAcentral. Lineage: Bacteria; Pseudomonadati; Bacteroidota; Saprospiria; Saprospirales; Saprospiraceae.